Molecule: ribosomal RNA, 497 nt
Filed under: uncultured bacterium
Lineage: Bacteria
Description: partial 16S ribosomal RNA
Rfam family: Bacterial small subunit ribosomal RNA
Source: RNAcentral
GACGAACGCUGGCGGCGUGCCUAAUACAUGCAAGUUGAGCGCUGAAGGUUGGUACUUGUACCAACUGGAUGAGCAGCGAACGGGUGAGUAACGCGUGGGGAAUCUGCCUUUGAGCGGGGGACAACAUUUGGAAACGAAUGCUAAUACCGCAUAAAAACUUUAAACACAAGUUUUAAGUUUGAAAGAUGCAAUUGCAUCACUCAAAGAUGAUCCCGCGUUGUAUUAGCUAGUUGGUGAGGUAAAGGCUCACCAAGGCGAUGAUACAUAGCCGACCUGAGAGGGUGAUCGGCCACAUUGGGACUGAGACACGGCCCAAACUCCUACGGGAGGCAGCAGUAGGGAAUCUUCGGCAAUGGACGAAAGUCUGACCCAGCAACGCCGCGUGAGUGAAGAAGGUUUUCGGAUCGUAAAACUCUGUUGGUAGAGAAGAACGUUGGUGAGAGUGGAAAGCUCAUCAAGUGACGGUAACUACCCAGAAAGGGACGGCUAACUACGUG